UACGAAGGGGGCGAGCGUUGUUCGGAUUUACUGGGCGUAAAGGGCGCGCAGGCGGCUCAUUUUGUCAGGCGUGAAAGCCCCGGGCUUAACCUGGGAACUGCGUUUGAUACGGGUGGGCUAGAGUUCGGGAGAGGAGAGUGGAAUUCCCAGUGUAGAGGUGAAAUUCGUAGAUAUUGGGAAGAACACCGGUGGCGAAGGCGGCUCUCUGGACCGAUACUGACGCUGAGGCGCGAAAGCGUGGGGAGCGAACAGG
RNAcentral lists this ribosomal RNA (253 nucleotides) under uncultured bacterium. RNAcentral describes it as "partial 16S ribosomal RNA". It matches the Rfam family "Bacterial small subunit ribosomal RNA", at positions 524 to 776 of the family's 1533-position model. The record is from RNAcentral.